UACGUAGGGGGCAAGCGUUGUCCGGAAUUUUGGGCGUAAAGAGCGUGUAGGCGGCCAGAUAAGUGCGCUGUGAAAUCUCGAGGCUCAACUUCGAGCUGUCGGUGGAAACUAUCUGGCUAGAGUCCGGAAGAGGAGAAUGGAAUUCCUGGUGUAGCGGUGAAAUGCGCAGAUAUCAGGAAGAACACCCGUGGCGAAGGCGGUUCUCUGGGACGGUACUGACGCUGAGACGCGAAAGCGUGGGGAGCGAACAGG
This 252-nucleotide ribosomal RNA is filed under the name uncultured bacterium. Its description in RNAcentral is "partial 16S ribosomal RNA". It matches the Rfam family "Bacterial small subunit ribosomal RNA", at positions 524 to 776 of the family's 1533-position model. The record is from RNAcentral.